This 233-nucleotide unclassified non-coding RNA is filed under the name uncultured fungus. Its description in RNAcentral is "sequence contains ITS1". Lineage: Eukaryota; Fungi. The record is from RNAcentral.
GUAUUUCAUUGCGUUAAACGCGGCAUACAUUCCAUGAGACUUCGUUACGGUGUGUGUGUGUAAAGACGUAGAACCACAGCAGGGGAGCAGAGCCCCCAAGCCAUAGGAACUACAGAGGGUGCACAGGUGUGAGUGGAGUGUAAACAGAGUGUGCACAUGCCCCCAUCUGAGGACCAGCAACAACUUCUGUCGACAGUUCAGUAAUGAUCCUUCCGCAGGUUCACCUACGGAAA